This 242-nucleotide ribosomal RNA is filed under the name Escherichia coli. RNAcentral describes it as "partial 23S ribosomal RNA". It matches the Rfam family "Bacterial large subunit ribosomal RNA", at positions 1 to 243 of the family's 2925-position model. RNAcentral also lists the same sequence under 4 other names. The record is from RNAcentral. Lineage: Bacteria; Pseudomonadati; Pseudomonadota; Gammaproteobacteria; Enterobacterales; Enterobacteriaceae.
GGUUAAGCGACUAAGCGUACACGGUGGAUGCCCUGGCAGUCAGAGGCGAUGAAGGACGUGCUAAUCUGCGAUAAGCGUCGGUAAGGUGAUAUGAACCGUUAUAACCGGCGAUUUCCGAAUGGGGAAACCCAGUGUGAUUCGUCACACUAUCAUUAACUGAAUCCAUAGGUUAAUGAGGCGAACCGGGGGAACUGAAACAUCUAAGUACCCCGAGGAAAAGAAAUCAACCGAGAUUCCCCCAG